UGAUGCAAGGGAGAAAAGAUCAUGGAUUUCAUGCUUGCAUGGAAAUCCAUGAGUUUGGAUCCCGCAAAAAUAUGAGAAAGUAGCCCGACAGGGCGGAUUUCGAAUAUUUUCAGAUUGUGAGAGCAUGAAAUGCAAAGCAAUCUGGAGCAUCA
This 152-nucleotide small RNA is filed under the name Firmicutes bacterium CAG:56. RNAcentral's name for it is "Clostridiales-1 RNA". It matches the Rfam family "Clostridiales-1 RNA". Lineage: Bacteria; Bacillati; Bacillota. The record is from Rfam by way of RNAcentral.